This is a long non-coding RNA of Brassica rapa (field mustard), 1378 nucleotides long. RefSeq lists it as uncharacterized. The record is from RefSeq and is a predicted model, not a curated record. NCBI's taxonomy places the organism in Eukaryota, Viridiplantae, Streptophyta, Magnoliopsida, Brassicales, Brassicaceae.
AUUUUUUAGUUUCAAAAUGUUAUGUCCAAAUCUAUUAACCAUUCAAUCUAUUAAAAAUAAAAAAUUAGUUAAGUGAGUUAUAUUUUUAAAUAUAAGAAAUUUGAGGAAUUGAAAUUUUUAUUUUAUUUUUCAAAAUCUAAAUAUCCGAACCCGAUCCGAAAUAAACGAACCCGAACUAAAAAUACCUGAACCCGACCCGAAGUACAGAAAUACCCGAAUGGGUUCUAUACCUCUAUACGAAAAUACCCGAAAAUCCGAAAUACCCGACUCGAACCCGAACGAGUACCCGAAUACCCACUCCUAUUUACAUCGGUGCAAAUAUGGCAUUUAUUCUUGUAUAUGGAGUGCAAAUUCUCUUUAACAAAAAAAAAACGUAUUUUUAGUUUUUAGAUUCCUAAUUUUUCUCAAAUCCCCACGAUCGCUUUCACACGUCGUACGUACGUACGUAACUCCCAAAAUCAUAAUCAUGGCACAAAAUCUAACAGUUUCAUCUUCUUUAUUCUUGCUUUUCUCCUCCUUCUUCUCCAUGUUUCAUAUUCUUCAUCAAAUUUUUUCCAGAUUUUCAGUGCAUCAGCAAAAAUCAAUAGAGGCACUACGUAGCAAAAAGAAAUCCUGUCCAAUAGAAAAGGUACAGAUUCUGCAAACUUUACAGUUUUGUCUCUGCUUUUCCAUAAUUUCGAUUCAAAUUCUUACAAACUAGCUUUGCAUUUCCCCCCACGAGCACUUGAUCUUCAUUAUGUCUUAUGUUUUUGUAUAUUUUACAGUUUGUUCAAUGGUAUUUUUUUGAACUGCAGUUUGUUCGAUGGUUUUUUUUUUUAACUGCAGUUUGUUCAAUGUUAUUAUCAUACAUAGUCGUCCUGCCAAAUUGUUUCAGUUACUCUUGCCAUCUUUUCAUACAUUGUCAUCAUAUUUCUCUGCAAAAGCUGAAAUGAAUUAUGAUACAAUACAAAUUAAUACGAGGUCUCGAUCGUGAACCAAAUGUGUUUCUCUUAACGAGAGUAACUCAUUUCAAAGCUGGUGCACGAUGGUGUAAGAUAGCCAGGCACAAUAAUAAAUAUUAGAGAUUGACAUGUGCCCCCGCGUGGAUAUUGAGUUCUGAUAUUUUUAUACAUUAAUAUUUGCUUUUAAUAAUUAGUGUUAUAUAUGUAGGAUGUGUCGUAAUAUAACUAAUGGUAUUUAAAUGAUCUGGACCGAAUCGGGUAAUAUGAUUAUUUUUGGUAAAAAUAUAUGAAUCUGUUUCAGAUAGAUUUGUUAUUUAGAUAUUUUUAGGUUCAUAUACAUUAGAACCGAACACAUCUAGACUCAGAAGAAUCCAACUCAAAACCCACACAUAAAUUUAUAAUAUUCAAGCGGGGUCUAAUUUCAAAAAAAAAAAAUA